GCCGGGCGCGGUGGCUCACGCCUGUAAUCCCAGCACUUAGGGAGGCCGAGGCAGGUGGAUCACUUGAGGCCAGGAGUUCAAGACCAGCCUGGCCAACAUGGUGAAACCCUGUCUCUA
RNAcentral lists this small RNA (117 nucleotides) under Macaca fascicularis (crab-eating macaque). RNAcentral describes it as "Metazoan signal recognition particle RNA (ENSMFAG00000062515.1)". The record is from Rfam by way of RNAcentral. Lineage: Eukaryota; Metazoa; Chordata; Mammalia; Primates; Cercopithecidae.